GACGAACGCUGGCGGCGUGCUUAACACAUGCAAGUCGAACGGAAAGGCCCUGCUUUUGUGGGGUGCUCGAGUGGCGAACGGGUGAGUAACACGUGAGUAACCUGCCCUUGACUUUGGGAUAACUUCAGGAAACUGGGGCUAAUACCGGAUAGGAGCUCCUGCUGCAUGGUGGGGGUUGGAAAGUUUCGGCGGUUGGGGAUGGACUCGCGGCUUAUCAGCUUGUUGGUGGGGUAGUGGCUUACCAAGGCUUUGACGGGUAGCCGGCCUGAGAGGGUGACCGGCAACAUUGGAACUGAGAUACGGCCCAGACUCCUACGGGAGGCAGCAGUGGGGAAUAUUGCACAAUGGGCGGAAGCCUGAUGCAGCAACGCCGCGUGCGGGAUGACGGCCUUCGGGUGGUAAACCGCUUUCGCCUGUGACGAAGCGUGAGUGACGGUAAUGGGUAAAGAAGCACCGGCUAACUACGU
This 467-nucleotide ribosomal RNA is filed under the name uncultured bacterium. RNAcentral's name for it is "partial 16S ribosomal RNA". It matches the Rfam family "Bacterial small subunit ribosomal RNA", at positions 28 to 506 of the family's 1533-position model. The record is from RNAcentral.